RNAcentral lists this long non-coding RNA (6999 nucleotides) under Malus domestica (apple). Its description in RNAcentral is "long non-coding RNA (MDOM_LNC015469)". Lineage: Eukaryota; Viridiplantae; Streptophyta; Magnoliopsida; Rosales; Rosaceae. The record is from RNAcentral.
CUUGAACUAGGUUCACUAGGUUCGGGAUGCCUCCUCUUUCUUCUCAAAUCACGUUCAAAAUCGUCGUUGAAAUCCAAGAUGUGUGCAUGCACAGUUUGAGAACUCCGCGUCAUGCACUAGUACCUAAACCAAGAAAACAAAACAAAAUCAGAAAACUAAGUAAAUUAUACUAAAACACACGGCAAAAACACAAGGGAUUAGCAAUUUUGCUAAUCCCCGGCAACGGCGCCAAAAUUUGAUGUGAAAAUUAACUUGACACACAAAUUAAACCCUAUGGAUGACAAUUGUAGUAUAUGAGCAAAUAGGGAUCGUUCUAAACCGGGGAUUAACUAGGGAUGCUAAUCAAUGUGAAACUGACUCAAGAACAUAAAAACAUAAUGUAGAACACUAAACUAGACUCAAUUAAUGCAAAACUAGAGUUUAAAACACCUACACUAACCAAAAACUCAAAACAGCAACAAAAAGACUCAAAACUGCCUUAUAACCACUUUCUGGGCAGUUUUGAGUACCUAACACUAAUUUGGACGAAAUUGGACUAAAACUUAACUUAAGACACUUAAAACACAAACUAAAUUGAUUUCUAACUAAUCUAACACUUUAAAAUAAAAGGGGGAUUGAUUUUGACGAAAUUAAAACUUUAAAAUUUAACUUUGAAAACAAAUGUAAAGCAAAACAGAUUGUGAUAAAAUAGAAUGAUGAGAAACUAGUUAGAGGGUUCCUUAUCCACACAUGCACAUAUGCAUACAACUCGAUUUCCAAUUACUCUUUCAACAAACCAUGAAUGACAAUGCCCCAAAUUAACUAGAUUGCACCAAUUAAUUCUCAGAUUUCCCUAGAUUCAUUGAAUUGAAUGGAAUACGCAUUACAACCAAAUUAUUCUUAUCAAGGACCCUAACUAUGGAAUACGCAUGAUAGAGACACAUAUCAAAGAUCAUUAAGUUCAAUGGAAAUCAUAAGCAUUGACGAGGCAUUCAUAACUAUAGGAUACGCAUGUUACUCUUGCCUAGGAUUUACUUAACGCAAUCGUGACUAGCGAUUUUUACUACUUAUGAAUAUAAGUUAAUAACGAUUAGGUGAAAUUCCCUUAUAUCCUAGCAUCAAGUUUAUGCAUGCAAAUUAAGUGUCGACCCUCAACCCACAUACAUAAACAAGUUAUCAAUCAAAUAGAUAAGUAAAUCACAUUCACAAUUUCUGAAAUCAUAAUUGGAAGAAAUCAAAUCAUAUAAAACAUAUGUCCAUGGCUUCAAAUUCACCUCUAACUAAAAAGAAAUUAGUUCCACAUGUCUAACAUAAUUGAAAAAGCAAUUUAAAUUAAACAUGAAAACAGAAACAAGAGAAGAAAAAACUCUUAAAACUCCCAAAGAUGCAGAUGGCUUGCGCACAAGGCCCUCAUUCAUCAAUGGAAUGCACGACAAGGCUCUCCUUCUUCUCCAAAAGGUGCGGCAGAGAUGUGUAUGGAUUGUAGGAUGGGUUUUGUGAUGUAGAAUGGUGAUUAGGGUUGCGGCAAGGUGUGUUUGGAUGGUGUGAAGGGGUGGUGACGAAUUUAGGCUUAAAACACAUAUAUAUAGGCACCACAAACCCUAAAGAAAUCAGGUUAGACAAUGGGCUAGGGUUUAGGUGCGGCUAGGGUUAGAGAUGGGCCUUCUAGAAUGCCUUGCAAGGCAAGGAAAUAGGUGUUCUAGAAGGCUAGGUGCGGCUGAUUAGUGGGCUAGGGUUAGGGUUUGUAGAUAGGGCUUCUAGAAAGCCCAAAACCAAGAAUAGAAACUCUCGAAAAUGGAAACCUCUAAGAAUAGAAACUUCCAACUUUAGAAACUUUGGAUGCCAAUUCCGACUUCUUUGUUCUUCACUUUCAUUUCUUCAUUUCUUAAGCUCCUUUGACCUUCAAACUCGUCCAUUCCUUGUGCUCCAUAAGCAUACACUCCAUUCCAGCUCAAUUUUGCUCUCAAAUGCUCCAAAUUGCAUCAUUUUAUGUAAUAUGCUCUUAAAACCUGAAGAACACAUGAAAACUAACUUAAAAGACUACUUUAAACUAAGAAAACAUAACUAAAAUGCAUAAGAACUAGCUAACUAAGGCGCAUAAAUAUGCUCCUAUCAAAUUCCCCCACACUUAGCUUUGCUAGUCCUCGAGCAAAAUAAAGAAUUAAAGAAAAACAAAACAAACAAAAACAAACAAAACAGAACCUAAACCUUCCAACAUUUGCCUCAGGGAUUUCCAAUGCACAUGACAUGUUAAAAAUCAUCAUUCCCACAGAUUUUAGUCAUCUUUACUCUUAAGCACAUACUUAAUCAUAGUCACCACGUACUAGUUCACAUUUAACCAAUUAAAACAUGAUUUUGAAUGUAGUAACAUGCCUUAGAGAAUUUGCUCAAUUCCUUACUAGAUAUGCACUCAAUUUUCACACAGAUUUUCUGACUACACACCCUAUACUAGUUAUAUGUGAGAAGAUUGAUGUAAAUAUGAAAACGAAUGCUCACAUAUAUGUUAUAACAAAGGAAAGCUUUCUCUGAAUUUAAUAAGCAUGUUUAGAUAUGAUCUCAUGAAAUGGAAUGCUACUACUUAGAUGCGAGAACCAGUGACACCAUAUGCUCAUACCAAUCCCAAACUCCACAAAUUGAAACACAUAACACUCAAGAUUAAAGUCAAGGGUUGUAACGGGGCUAGGGGAGUUGGCUAACAACGAAAGGAUAGGGAAAACAAACGUUCUUUAAGCAAUAGUAAGCAAAACAAUGAAAUCGUACUCAGAAUUCCCAUUAGCAUGCAGAAAUUAACUUUUAAACACAAAGGGAAGAUUCAACAACAAUUAGGGCCGAAUUCACUGUUUUGGACCCUUCCUUCAACAAACAACACUUAAGAACUCUUUUUCACAUUUUUUCAACUCCUUUUCAUUCUUUUCACAACUUUUUCUUUCUUUCUUUUUUUUUUUCUUUUUAUUUUCCACGAAAUUUUUCUUUUUCUUUUCUUUUUCGUGCCUCAUUCAAGACUUUGGCACACCCACAACAAAACUCACUUCCCCCACACUUGUUUUCUGCCAACAAUGACCAAAAGGAAUUCAUUUUGAAGUCAUUCAUUACUAUGCUUCAAGAACGAAGGUAUGGAUGGUCCUAAUCUAGGCUAGGUGAGGAUAAUGUGGGUUAACAAAGAACAUAGGCUAACACAAGGCUCAACGGGGUUAAAACCUACAAAAAUAAUUGCAUGGAAUGAAGGCUUUUUGGCUAUGGUGGUAACUACUAACUUCAUCUUGAAUAUGUGUUAUGUAAUUCAAUAACAUGUUUUGAAUGAAAUUGACAUGAGUUCUAGCAUUUGGAACUAAAUGAUGAAACGCCUUCUAAGUAAUAACCAAGCAAAGAAUAAUGAGAUCAUGCAACGACUUUAGAAAACAAGAAUGCACAGAUUUUUACUCUCCAAAUAAACGUUUAGGCUCAAGUCUCACAAGGUUGUAGCGUUUGUUUGAGUUACUUCCUUCAAGCAUGUUACAAAAACGGAUUUUUACUUUAUGAUUACAUGUGAAUUCAUAAGUUAUAACCACAACCAAGCAUAAACCAAAGAGUAAAUCAAACUUUUGUCCAUGUUCAUAACUCUCUUUAACAAUCAUGCAAUUACAAACCGAAUCCUCAUCAUUGUGUUGGAAGGUACCCUAAGACACAAACACACAAAAACAACUUUAAAACGACUCUUUUUGGGUUUUUAAAACAAAUUUUUCAAAUUUUUAUGGGAUUUUCGGAUUUUUGACUCAAAACACAUUAAAACACACCAAAACAGCUUAAAAAGGCUUAAAAACAGCAAGAAACAACAUUUGAAAUUAUGGGUGACAAAACCCUACGAAUUUGCAUCAAAACACUUUGGUUACCCCCCCCCACACUUAAACCAAACAUUGUCCUCAAUGUUUCAAGCAUAGACUCACACAAAAACACAUAAACAAACAAACCAACACUAACAAACUAAACAUGGCAGAAACGAAAGAAACAACAAAGAGAAGGGUUUAGAAACGCAAAUCUGGAAUUGGAGUGCUCUCUAGGUCUUCCUUUGUCAAAUGCAUGGGUUGCCUCCCACGAAGCGCUUUCUUUAACGUCUUCCAGCCGGACGGUACCUCCGUUUAAGCUUGACUAGGUUCCAUGGCAUGGAGGGGUACAUCCUCCAUGACAUGCUCCUUGAAAUACUCAUGCAUUGGGUCUAUGUAUGGCAGUGGAUAAUGAUGGUCCCAGAUUGUGGCAUUGCGCUUCCCAAGGUCAAAGUAAGAACUCCCAUAAUCAUGGAUUCGAUUUGGUACCUGCACUACAGAAGGCAAUAACCUAUUAGUGGAAACGGGAAUUGGAAUUAGAGGAGGAGGCUUACCAAUGCAUGUAGAUGAAGACUCAAAAGGGGCAGCAAAGGUGGUGCUCUCGGCCAGAUUUGGUAUUUUGGGUGUAAUGACAUGUUUCGUAUGCUCCACUCCAAUACCCUCUUCGAUGAUGCAUCUAGGGACAUCCUUCUUGAUUGGUGCGCAUGAAUGUUCCUUCCCCACAUUUUUAAUCACAUCUAUUGCAAAACAAGAACGAACAUCAUUAGGAUUCUUAACAUAUUCAGGAACUUUGAAUUUAAUCAAUUCAUCACCAAACUCCAUUGUUGACUCUCCCUUAGCCACAUCAAUCUUGGUUUGGGCUGUCUUCAUGAAGGGCCUCCCUAAUAGUAUCGGCAAUGGGGUAGAAUAGGGUGAAUCCUCCAUGUCAAGCACGUAAAAGUCCGCUGGAAAAAUCAAAUUGCCCACCUGCACCAAAAACAUCUUCCAAAACACCCUUUGGAUAUGCAUUAGAACGAUCGGCUAAUUGAAUAAUCACACCAUCGUUUUUAAGCUCACCUAAGUUCAUAGAUGCAUAAAUAGAGUAUGGCAUAACAUUAAUCGAAGCCCCUAAGUCUAACAUGCAUUGUUCAAACUUAGUCUUGCCAAUAACGCACGGAAUUGUAAAACUACCCGGAUCUUUGCAUUUAGGGGGUAAUUUCCUUUGUAACAUGGCAGAAACAUUCUCACUUACUUGGACCACCUCUUUGUUCGAAAUCCUUCUCCUUGAUGUACAAAGUUCUUUUAAAAACUUAGCAUACCUCGGGACUUGCUUAAUUGCAUCAAGGAGCGGAAUAUUGACUUGAACUUUCCGAAAGGUCUCUAGAAUGUCCUUCUCGGCUUCUUCCUUCUUUGAUUGCCUAAACCUGCCAGGAAAGGGCACAUUUAGUGGAAUGGAACUAGAAAAAGUCGAAUUUGGACUUACCUUGGUGGUUUGGGACGGCUUAGGAGGGCUAGAUGGUGGCGGCAAGGAUUGUUCAUCCUUGGCCGUGAGUUUUGGUCCAUGUGCUUCCUCUUGUAGCAACUUUUCAUCCUCAUCGUGACUUGAUUUGGAUGAUUUUGGUUCGGCUCCAACCUGUGUACCACUUCUCAACAUGAUUGCAUUGACGGUUUCAAAGCCUCCUUUAGGAUUCAUAAUAGUUGAACUAGGCAAUUUGCCUUGUUCUCUAAUCUGCCCCAUGAAUUCCGCUAUUUGCCCCACUUGCUUUUCCAAGUUAUCCACCCUUUUGUCUUGGAUUUGCCUCUCUUUGUUUUGAUUUUGUACUUCCUGCGUCAAAGUAGUAAGUAACUUAACAACUUGAUCAUUAUCCAAAGACAUACCUGAGUUUGUUGGGGCAGAUUGCACUUGGUUUUGAUUGGGGAUGAAUGGCUUUGUAUAAAAACCCGGUGGUUGCUGCCUAAAUCCUCCUUGUUGUUGGGGUUGUUGAGGAUCCCGCCAUUUGAAAUUUGGAUGGUCCCUCCACCCCGGAUUGUAGGAAUUAGAGUAUGGAUCGUGGCGUGGUUGAUUUUGGUUCCCAAAACCCACGGCAUUGGCAGAUUCCCAACCCCCAUUCUCAAUCAACUGAGGGCAUUGAUCGUUGGCAUGUCCUUGCAUAGAGCACACGCCACACACACUUGGUCCAUGAAUCUUCAUUCCCUCGGCCAACUGAGAAACAAUAGAAGUAAGGUUAGCUAAUUGGGAUUGAAUUUCGGGCAUAGAACUUACCUCAUUCACUUGUGGCCGUGGGGGGUCUCUUUGUCCAACACCUUCGUAUUGUUGUGCAUUUAUAUGCUCGGUUGGCAAUUAGAACUUUUGCAGCCCCCGGAGUUUUAUCCACCAACGCACCUCCCGCCGAGGCAUCAAGCAUUUGGCGUUCCAUGGGAAGGAGUCCUUCGUAGAAGUAUUGAAUGAGCAGCUCCUCCUUCAUUUGAUGCUGUGGACAAGAAGCAACAAGUGAUUUAAAACGUUCAUAAUAAGAAGGAAACGAUUCACCUUGAUUUUGUUGGAUGCCACUAAUCCGUUUCCUCAAGAGAAUGACUCUUGAAGUUGGGAAAAACUUCUCCAAGAAAGCUCUUUUCAUACUAUCCCAAGAUGUAACUGUUCCGGGUGCUAACUCGUAAAGCCAAUCCUUCGCCUUUUCCAAAAGUGAGAAUGGAAAAGCCUUCAUCAUCAGAAUGUUCCCGUCGACAUUUAUGGGUGUCAUGCUCGAACAAACAACCUCGAACUCCUUGAGAUGCUUGUUGGGAUCUUCCAUGGAAAGCCCAUGGUAUUUCGGAAUGUGGUGCAACAAGCUUGACUUCAGCUCGAAUUCAUCGGUCUUGCCUUGGGCAGCCGCGGGGUAUUGAAUGCAUAAUGGUGCGGCAUUGGUCAACCCCGAGGCCGAAAGCUCUUUAAUGGUCCGAUUGUCCGCUGCCAUAACUUCUUCUUCCACUUCUUCAAACUCAGAUUCGGCCUCUGAACUUGAACUAGGUUCACUAGGUUCGGGAUGCCUCCUCUUUCUUCUCAAAUCACGUUCAAAAUCGUCGUUGAAAUCCAAGAUGUGUGCAUGCACAGUUUGAGAACUCCGCGUCAUGCACUAGUACCUAAACCAAGAAAACAAAACAAAAUCAGAAAACUAAGUAAAUUAUACUAAAACACACGGCAAAAACACAAGGGAUUAGCAAUUUUGCUAAUCCCCGGCAACGGCGCCAAAAUUUGAUGUGA